CUGCAUGAAGUCGGAAUUGCUAGUAAUCGCAGAUCAGCAUGCUGCGGUGAAUACGUUCCCGGGCCUUGUACACACCGCCCGUCACACCAUAGGAGUCGGUAACACCCGAAGUCGGUAGCCUAACCGUAAGGAGGGCGCCGCCGAAGGUGGGAUUGAUGACUGGGGUGAAGUCGUAACAAGGUAUC
Molecule: ribosomal RNA, 185 nt
Filed under: uncultured bacterium
Lineage: Bacteria
Description: partial 16S ribosomal RNA
Rfam family: Bacterial small subunit ribosomal RNA
Source: RNAcentral